Molecule: ribosomal RNA, 468 nt
Filed under: uncultured bacterium
Lineage: Bacteria
Description: partial 16S ribosomal RNA
Rfam family: Bacterial small subunit ribosomal RNA
Source: RNAcentral
GACGAACGCUGGCGGCGUGCUUAACACAUGCAAGUCGAACGGUGAAGCUCCAGCUUGCUGGAGUGGAUCAGUGGCGAACGGGUGAGUAACACGUGAGCAACCUGCCCCUGACUCUGGAAUAAGCGCUGGAAACGGCGUCUAAUACUGGAUACGAGAAGGGUCCGCAUGGGCACUUUCUGGAAAGUUUUUCGGUUGGGGAUGGGCUCGCGGCCUAUCAGCUUGUUGGUGAGGUAAUGGCUCACCAAGGCGACGACGGGUAGCCGGCCUGAGAGGGCGACCGGCCACACUGGGACUGGGACACGGCCCAGACUCCUACGGGAGGCAGCAGUGGGGAAUAUUGCACAAUGGGCGAAAGCCUGAUGCAGCGACGCCGCGUGAGGGAUGACGGCCUUCGGGUUGUAAACCUCUUUCAGCAGGGAAGAAGCGAAAGUGACGGUACCUGCAGAAGAAGCACCGGCUAACUACGUG